AAUAGUAUAGCUGUCGUUCUCCUGCAUUAUUUUGGCCUUAUUGAGGUUCGGCCAAUCCCAGUAGUCGCGUUGACGUCAUUACGUUGUUCCCCUCAGCGCGCUGUGUUGUAAUUAGCGGCUGCAGCAUUCAGGCGUGCAGGAGCGGUGGGGAAGCCACACACGAGAGAGCUGCAGGAGCCCCUUAUCGUAGCCAAAUCAGAGACGGACGACGGAGUGAGAGAGUAGAUGCAAAUCGUGGAACUGGCCAGGUCCUUGAUUGAUGGCGAGCUUAAUGGAGCCCUGAACCUAAAGCAAAGCAACUGCUGAAGAAUUGAGUCGCAUCUCUCCUGCCAGGCUGGUAGGGGGCUCUUUGUGGCCCACAAACUCUCACCACUCAAAACCUUGAAUUGUCCGCCUUGCCCACAUACACUCUUUUUUUUUUCCACAAACCCCUCCCAUGCGCACUCUUCCUCCUGGACAAUCACAUUCAACCCAGACGUGGGCUACAUGAACUGUGGGUUGGGUUGGUACAUUGGGGUUAAUUUCCCAAGUGUGGGGAAUUUUGUGGACUCAUUUGUGCUUUGCAUUGACAUUCGAAUUGUAUAUCAAUGUUUCUGAGUCAUGUCCUGAAGUUGCAUAGUAAUGAAUUAUUUUGAAUAUUCAUUAUUGAAUGGCCAUUUAUGAGUUACUGUUGUUAUUCACUGUAAAUAUUUGCACUGUUGGCUGUCUUGUAUGUUUAAAGGAAUAUUUAAUAUAUGGUACCUGCAAACACAAAGUCAGCUUCCUGUCUACUCUCUCCUUGAGCCGAAUUUAGCCUUCUGAUUACUAGCCUAACGAACCUAACUACUUCUGGUGUUAGUAAACCAGUUCUUUACUACUUACCUACUACACAGGUGUUACAAUGGACAGACAUCUGAACAAACCCACCUGGCACUGGUUCAGAGGCCCGAGUGCUCAGAGGGUCCCUGGGCCACAACCAUUGAUGAGUCAAUCAACCAACAUCAAAAAGAUGCAACACAAUGACAAACAGAUGCAAAAUAAAGUCAAAGUGAAGCAGAAUAACAAACAAUGACAAUGACAAAAUGAUUAAGAGUUGCAAAAUUACUACAAAGAGAUACAAAUCAACCACAAAGACAAACAACUACAAGGAGGCAAAAAAUGACUAAAAGAAUCACAGUGAUAGUCACAACUACAAAGGAACAAAAAGCUUCUGGUCUCUUGCAAUUUUCAAUGUAACCUGGUGGUUUCUAUGUAGUUGUAAUGGUGAUUUUCUUAAUGAGAAACAGUGCUGGUAUGUCCAACACAUACCUCUAAUGCAGUUUUUUUUAGCGCAUAUCACAUUCACAAAGAUGUUGUACAUUAUGGUUAUAGCUUAAUGAGCAGCACAGUGGUGCAGCACUGUCACCUCAAAGGAACAGGAUUCAAGGUUUGAACCUGUUGGUCAGCUAGAGCCUUUCUGUGUGGAGUUUGCAUGUUCUACAUAUAGGUUUUCUCCAUGUGCUCUAGCUUCAUCUUAUUGUCCAGAGACGUGUGUGGUAGAGCAAUUUGUGAUUCUCAAUUGGCUGUGAGACUAAGCGGGAAUAGUCGUCUGUCUCUCUGUUACCCCUGUGAUUGACUGGCAACCUGUUCACAGUUUAUCCCCGCCUCUCGCCUAAUGUCAGUUUUGAUUUUUAUUCUGUUUGUCAAUUUAUUGGUCCAUGAGGUUGUUAAAAGUAAACUCUGACAAUCCUGUGAGCACAGCAAAAGAGCUCCUGCUUUACUUGUGUUUGUUCUGUUUAUGUUGAAAUUGGACAGGAUAAUUUGUUGUAGAGUGAUUUUCCUUCUUUAGCUCCUUAUUUCUGAUGCGGAUGGUGGGUUGUUUUGGAGAAACAGGUCAAAAUCAGUAGUCUCCAAAUAAGGUGAUUUAUUUCUGAUGAGAAAAAGAAAACACUGUUGUAGGCAGCAAAAUCUUCCUCUGGGCAUGGAGUCAGCGCCAUGGUAAAGUGACGCAAAAGGACCACUAAGAGACUCAAACAAGCCACAAAGAGAAGCAAAACAGAUGCAAAGACACAAACUUACUGUUAAGGAGCACAAAGGGACUGCAAUGGACCACCAUGAGAUGGAAAACAAUGCCACAAAAAGACACAAAAUUACCAGACAGGGAAGCAAAAAGAUAAAAAGAUGGAACCCAUCAACAUAGAAGAGAGAUACAUAAAGGAACAAACACAAGCAAUAGAAAAACUAAGAAAAAAUCAUUGCAGAGACAUGAAAGAACCGAUAAGUGAUGCAAAAUGACCACAAAGACACACAAAAUGCAUGUGGUCAUUUUUGUACUUUCAGUCUGGGUUUAUUGCUUCUAUAUAGGGAGUAUGAAAAACCUUUUAUCCAUCUGUGGCUCAUUGUGUCACAUCCCAUCCAUGUGGAGAGGUGAGAUACUGUGUGAAUUUCAAGCUGUGUUCGAUAGCAAUUACAGCCUCCCUGAAUAGCAGCAGACAGUUACAGUGCCGCAAACAUGUAUCACAAACAUCUCAUUGCCAACAGUGACACUAAUUUGUUGACAUGAAGUCAAUGGAACGGACACAUAUUAUGCUUCUUUAACUUGAUGGAGCGAACAAAGCAGCUUAAAAGCCAUUCAUCGUGCUGGCCAGAUGUGGUUUACUGUCAUUUCCUGUGUGAAGCUGUGUCAGUGGAAAAGAAACAAAAUUUAAAAAACAACAACAAUAACAGCAACAACAAAAAAGCUGGUACUUCACUCUUAGUUUCAGCCAUAAUUGCUCUCCUCACACUGUUGUGUACUACAAACACACAUACACAAACAGGCCCAUAUCCACAAACCCACAUGCUCGCCCUUGUAAUUCCAACAGGAUUUUUUUUGCCUCUUUGCAGUAUCUCAGCCACUGUUAUCUCUGCAUCCACAUGUUUCUCUGUCUCUCCCUCUUUCUGGGAUCAUUGGCUGUCUGUCAAAUGAUACCAAACCCGGGGAUCACACAAACACACAGAAAGGGAUCAAGGAUUUCUGGGGUUCGUGUUAAUCUGCAGCACUUGAGUCAGUCUGAUUUUCGGUGCAUUUGGUUUGGUGGUGCUGACGCUGUGAGUGGCUGGAUGGAUUGUGAGUAGCUGGGAAGGUUCAUUUGUCAGUCAGAGUGCAGAGUGUACUGAGAAUAGCAGUUGACUGACUAGAUGGAGAAAGAUCAACUGGGUGGCAAAUUCUCUUUCAGAGUGUGACUGACAUGGCUAUUAGGGAAGUGGACAAGCUGAUGGGGGAUGGACUUGCUGACUUUAUCGACUCCUUUAUUCGUUAUUCUUCAUUUUCCUAUAGAACUAAUACACUACCUGAGCAAGAGACUGUCUUAAUUAGAGGCUAAUCAAUAAACUUAUUCAUACUAUGAAGGAUGCAUUCAUGAUCUAUUCAGUAUUUCUUCCUGAAAUGCAUUUUUUGAUACUUGAAGGUUUACAAAUACAUUCAAUUGUACAUAUUGGCAAAACAAGUUUUUUGGAUGUCCUGUAAACCCACCAUACUUUACAUUCACCUUUGCUUGGAGACUUCCUUUCCCUUUGAUGUGUGUUAGCCAACAAUUGCUUAUCUACAUAACUAUCAGUAGAUACAGAUCAGCAUUAUCAUUCAAUAGGAGUCAAAUUUCUGGUCAUCUAAUGAAUUUAAGACCAGAUUCACAUUCUUUUUACCUUUUGAUUCCAUAAUGUUUACCAGUUCUUUUGCUACCUCAAUGCUAUUAUUGAUAACUUCAUUUUUCUACAGCUAAUGUCUACAAUUCUUCUAAAAAUCUGGUUCACUAAUUUGUGACAAGGAAUUCUUUCAAAAUGUCUGUCAAGCCUUAGUCUGCCUCUUUGGAUGUAAACUUCAGGUUUAAGCCUGCCAUUUCCUCCAUGCAUUUAUUGCAGGUCAGUACCUCAUUUCCACUAUCUGUAUGUUGCUGGUUUCAAAAUACCCAACAAAUACAACCACUGAGCAACAAGCUACAUGCUAAAAAAGAUUUAAGCUUUGCAGAAAAUGUGGAUUGUGCAGUAAG
Amphiprion ocellaris (clown anemonefish) is the source of this 3986-nucleotide long non-coding RNA. RefSeq lists it as uncharacterized. The transcript is spliced from 3 exons. The record is from RefSeq and is a predicted model, not a curated record. Lineage: Eukaryota; Metazoa; Chordata; Actinopteri; Pomacentridae.